This 200-nucleotide ribosomal RNA is filed under the name uncultured bacterium. Its description in RNAcentral is "partial 16S ribosomal RNA". It matches the Rfam family "Bacterial small subunit ribosomal RNA", at positions 28 to 223 of the family's 1533-position model. The record is from RNAcentral.
GAUGAACGCUAGCGGCAGGCCUAAUACAUGCAAGACGAACGGUAAGAUUGAUAGCAAUAUUGAUCCUAGAGUGUCGUACGGGUGCGUAACACGUAUGCAACUUACCUUGUACAGGAGUAUAGCUCGGGGAAACUCGAAUUAACCCUCCAUAAGAUGAGUAGAGGUGGCAUCACUUAGUGAUUAAAAUUCCGAUGGUAAAG